GCUGGGAUCUCAUGUCUGUCAUAUGGUCCUAAAAAUUAAAAUUAUAGCUAUUUUAAUUUUAUAAUAAAAAUCAGACUGUGAAUGAAAAAAUAAUUGAAAAAACUUACAAAGAGCUCCUGGCUCCCCGUCGUCCACUCUUCUGACCGUCGCUGGUGGGUUCGCUGGUAAAUAUCGAUCCUAUCAGGAAGCUUGCCACUCUCAGCAUCUCUU
RNAcentral lists this long non-coding RNA (210 nucleotides) under Elaeis guineensis (African oil palm). RNAcentral describes it as "long non-coding RNA (EGUI_LNC031520)". The record is from RNAcentral. Lineage: Eukaryota; Viridiplantae; Streptophyta; Magnoliopsida; Arecales; Arecaceae.